This 598-nucleotide unclassified non-coding RNA is filed under the name Hevea brasiliensis (rubber tree). The record is from RNAcentral. Lineage: Eukaryota; Viridiplantae; Streptophyta; Magnoliopsida; Malpighiales; Euphorbiaceae.
CAAAAUCUUUCCGCAAACUGUAUCUGCACUGUGCCAAAAUUGGAGCACAAAUGAUCAUUGAUAAGAUUAAACUUCAUUCAGUCGCCUAGAACCCUUUUCUGCAAGCUUAUGCGUUCCUAGAGUCACCAUAAAAGACUUAAUCUUUAUAGGAAUCAUGAUGUGUUGACCUCUUAAAUGACAGGGAUUGGAAGAGACUGUCAGUCACAACCUGCAGUAGCUCCAGUUGGCGCAUUGUCAUUCCCAUUGGCUGACUUCAGAGCUCCCUUAUCAGUAACUUCUGAGGCUUCGCCACUAUUUUGCACCAAAGCAGGCUGUUCAAAAUGCUCAUUUGUCACUUGGCACUGACAAGAUGUCUGAUUCAAUAAGCUAUUGGCACCACAGUUUUGCAUUGCUUGCAAGUUGAUGUUUUGAAUUGAAUCCUUUGAACCACAGACUGGGGCUGAAUCCAAAUUAUCCAGGGGACCUGCCACCCCACUAGCAUUCAGUCCCAUGGUAGUUUUUAGAAGAGGUCCUCCAGACAUGGGCAGUAAGGGUGCACAUGGAUAUGGCAUUGGAUGUCCUUGAGUAGCAAGCCCAAAUAUUGGAAGGUUAGAUCCUC